GGGCCUAUAGCUCAGCGGUAGAGCGCUCCGCUCAUAACGGAGAUGUCUGGGGUUCAAAUCGUCCCAUAGGCCCACCA
Molecule: transfer RNA, 77 nt
Filed under: compost metagenome
Description: tRNA-Met
Rfam family: tRNA
About the family: Transfer RNA (tRNA) molecules are approximately 80 nucleotides in length.
Source: RNAcentral